UAUUCAAUUAAAAAAUUAAAUGAUAAAGUUCUAUAGGCCAUGUGUAAUUUUCAAAAACAAUUUCUAACUUGUGCAUUUUGUGGCCAACUUGUAUCAUAAGUAGUCAACAUGUGCAACACAUGGCUAACUUGUUGGCUAAGUUUUCAACCUAUUAAUUACCUAUAAACAUUGAUAAAGUCAAAUCGGCAUCUAUGAAGCUUCCAAUGACCAUCUCAGUAGAAUAUUAUCAAAUUAAUACACUUUUAUGUACUUCUAUCAAACUCUGCUUUUUAUCCUAAUUAUUAAUGUCAAUAUUGAUGUUUGUGACAUCAAUAGAUGGCCACCAUGAAAAUUAUAUACCACCACUUAUCUUACUUUUAUCUAUAUAUCCAUAAUAUAAAUAUGUAGCAUUAUAACCAGCUUUCACAUAAAUUCCAUUAUA
RNAcentral lists this long non-coding RNA (421 nucleotides) under Physcomitrium patens. Its description in RNAcentral is "long non-coding RNA (PPAT_LNC001451)". Lineage: Eukaryota; Viridiplantae; Streptophyta; Bryopsida; Funariales; Funariaceae. The record is from RNAcentral.